RNAcentral lists this unclassified non-coding RNA (234 nucleotides) under plant metagenome. RNAcentral describes it as "partial contains small subunit ribosomal RNA, internal transcribed spacer 1, and 5.8S ribosomal RNA". The record is from RNAcentral.
GCUCCGUUGGUGAACCAGCGGAGGGAUCAUUACCGAGUUAUUCUACUCCCAAACCCCUGUGAACUUAUACCUUUACUGUUGCUUCGGCGGGUUAACGCCCCGGAAGGCCCGCGAGGACCGCCGGAACCAGGCGCCCGCCGGGGGAACCAAACUCUUGUAUCUUUUAUAUAGCAUGUCUGAGUGGAAGCAUAAACAAAUGAAUCAAAACUUUCAACAACGGAUCUCUUGGUUCUG